GGGCAUGUGGUUUAGGGGUAUAACAUUCGCUUAGCAUGCGAAAGGUCCUGGGUUCAAUUCCCAGCUUGUCCA
Sphaerobolus stellatus SS14 is the source of this 72-nucleotide transfer RNA. It matches the Rfam family "tRNA". From Rfam's summary of the family: Transfer RNA (tRNA) molecules are approximately 80 nucleotides in length. Their secondary structure includes four short double-helical elements and three loops (D, anti-codon, and T loops). Further hydrogen bonds mediate the characteristic L-shaped molecular structure. tRNAs have two regions of fundamental functional importance: the anti-codon, which is responsible for specific mRNA codon recognition, and the 3' end, to which the tRNAs corresponding amino acid is attached (by aminoacyl-tRNA synthetases). tRNAs cope with the degeneracy of the genetic code in two manners: having more than one tRNA (with a specific anti-codon) for a particular amino acid; and 'wobble' base-pairing, i.e. permitting non-standard base-pairing at the 3rd anti-codon position. Lineage: Eukaryota; Fungi; Basidiomycota; Agaricomycetes; Geastrales; Sphaerobolaceae. The record is from Rfam.